GAUGAACGCUGGCGGCGUGCCUAAUACAUGCAAGUCGAGCGAACGAACGAGAAGCUUGCUUCUCUGAUGUUAGCGGCGGACGGGUGAGUAACACGUGGAUAACCUACCUAUAAGACUGGGAUAACUUCGGGAAACCGUAGCUAAUACCGGAUAAUCUUUUGAACCGCAUGGUUCAACAGUGAAAGACGGUCUUGCUGUCACUUAUAGAUGGAUCCGCGCUGCAUUAGCUAGUUGGUAAGGUAACGGCUUACCAAGGCAACGAUGCAUAGCCGACCUGAGAGGGUGAUCGGCCACACUGGAACUGAAACACGGUCCAGACUCCUACGGGAGGCAGCAGUAGGGAAUCUUCCGCAAUGGGCGAAAGCCUGACGGAGCAACGCCGCGUGAGUGAUGAAGGUCUUCGGAUCGUAAAACUCUGUUACUAGGGAAGAACAUAUGUGUAAGUAACUGUGCACAUCUUGACGGUACCUAAUCAGAAAGCCACGGCUAACUACGUG
This 497-nucleotide ribosomal RNA is filed under the name uncultured bacterium. RNAcentral describes it as "partial 16S ribosomal RNA". It matches the Rfam family "Bacterial small subunit ribosomal RNA", at positions 28 to 507 of the family's 1533-position model. The record is from RNAcentral.